RNAcentral lists this ribosomal RNA (245 nucleotides) under Staphylococcus felis. RNAcentral describes it as "partial 23S ribosomal RNA". It matches the Rfam family "Bacterial large subunit ribosomal RNA", at positions 1481 to 1724 of the family's 2925-position model. Lineage: Bacteria; Bacillati; Bacillota; Bacilli; Caryophanales; Staphylococcaceae. The record is from RNAcentral.
GAUAGGCGAAGCGUGCUGUUGGAGUGCACGUCCAAGCAGUGAUACUGAGUGUUAGGCAAAUCCGGCACUCAAAAGGUCAAGCUGUGAUGGGGAGAGGAAAUUGUUUCCUCGAGUAGUUGAUUUCACACUGCCGAGAAAAGCCUCUAGCUAGAAAGUUGGUGCCCGUACCGCAAACCGACACAGGUAGUCACGAUGAGAAUUCUAAGGUGAGCGAGCGAACUCAUGUUAAGGAACUCGGCAAAAUG